UUUUUUUUUUUUUUUUGGGGUUACCCUUCCACCCUUCGUACUCCCAAUCAAACCUUUGACCGUGUGUGUAAAUAGUGAUACAUUACCGCCUCAUUUUCUUACUCGGAAAAAGAAAAACUAUCCAAAUAAUUUCUAUGCAUGUCAAGGGGGAAAAAAAAGGAAUAAAAAGGAAAGUUGCAAUCCGAAAUGCCCAUUUCCUUCCCCUGCGGUGGCAUCAAAUGCUGGACCCAUAUAAAGUCAGGCUGAAGAAAUGGGCUAAAGAAGCGGUGGUUCUCUGGAUAGGAACCGACGAACAUUUUGGUAAAAUUGUUGCAGCAGUCCCCACCGCUGCGAUGUGUUGCGUCCUUCGUCAGCGUCUCGUAUCGAGAAUGGUAUAAAUCUCGGCCUCAUCUUCCUAACAAGUGCACUGAAAAUAAUAAAAAGAUAGUUAAAAAAAUACUCCCCCCUUUUUUUAUAACUGACGUUUAAGAAAUUUGCUCUUAAGUACUUUUAUCUGUCUUUUUAUUAUCCCCAUGCAACAUUAAUUAUUUUUUCACAAUUUAACCCUUUUAUCUCUCUUUUCAUAAUUGGUGGGAGUUAGUUUGCAUUGCUUUUGGCCUAGUAAAACAGCACCAUUUAAUACUCUAGUGAGAGAAAACAUGGGUGAAUUGGAUAAUUAAUGAGGGUACAAAAGGAAAGUAGUGUAUAAAUUUAAACAAUGAAAAACUUUUCUUAAUUGGUGUGCAAAACCUUAAACGUCAGUUAUAAAAAAAGGGAGGGAGUAUAAAUAAUUCAUACAUGAUUUUCCCACCUACCAGACUUGAUCCUCUUUGGAUUUAUUUUUAUACUUGCAAGGGAGGUAAGACGUGUGUAUAUGUCGUAAAGGAGUAUAUGAAAGGUCCAUGACAUGCAUUGCAUUCUUUGCAUAUUUUAAUCCAAUCCAGCCUCUUGGCCUUGUAUUAUAUUAUCUGCUAUAUAUAUAUAUAUUCCCUAAUCCCUUGUUUUUUUUUUUUUUUUCCCUUCAUAGAUCUAGCUCCUUUCUUUAUGAUUUGAUCAUCUCCACAUUCUUUUUUUUUUCAAGAACAUACCGGAUUGCUGUUCCUCCAGCAGAGCACUAUUCAUGUUAUGUUCUGUUCCAUGGAAGGCAAAGUUGGAGCAAUAGCCGACGCUGACAAUACAUAUAGUGGCGGAUAUGUAGAACGCAUUUUAUUGUUUUUCGCCUUUUGUUACAUUUCCUUUCAUAAAAGAAAUUUACACAAGAGUGUGCUGGAUUGAAAGUAUUUAAUCCAUCAUUAGAUCUUGCACGCAAUCAAAUUGACUUGAUUACCAAAGCAACCGAGAGCUCGAAUUCAGCUGAGCCUGCGUUAGUUUCCAACUAAUAAUAAAUCAACUAGCAAUGAGGUCAAAAUUAGCAAUAUUGGUAAUAAAAAAAAAUUUUUUUUUUGGUCUUGCUCCAAGCAAAAUAUAGAACGGGAAGGGUUUAAUAAGGAUUCAAAGGAAAAACCUCAAGAGCUUCGCAAAUGAGAGUCUUUGUUUAAGUGGUCAGUGCAAGCCACUGAAUCCAUAAAAAAGGCCAGUAACUACUUAGUUCCUUUUUAAACGAUAGGUCGGAAGUUCGAAUUCACUCGCACUGAAAAAAAUUUAAAAGGGGUACCAAAACACUCAUUUGGUUUAAUUAGAUUCUUAUAUUUAUUAGCCAAUAUUAUAGUUGUUGUAAAAAAAAAAUCAUAAAUUGAUUCAAUAGAUAAAAACGAAUUACUUUCUCAUAAAAAUGAAUGGUAUUUGAGUUUCGUGAUCCAUGUAAUGACUAAUAUUGGUGAGUAAUUUAUAAAUACUCCUGUAAGUAAGCGAUUUUUAAUUUCGGAAGCAUGUCUCAUUGGCAGCUAAAAUCACUCAAAUUUUCUCUCUACCAACAAAAAAUAAAAGAAUAAAAAAUAUAAGCCAAGCCAAGCCAAGCUGCGUGAGAUGGGAACAAACAAACGAAGCAAAAGGCAAACACACGUCAGUGCAAGUAAUGGGCAACUGCCCCCAUUUACGUACAUUCAUUGCUACUGCUUCCUUCAAUUUCUCUUUCUCUUUAGCUUUCGUCUUUCUUUUGGCUUCAUUAGCAUAGGCUGUAUAGCAAACAACUCCCAUUAUUAUUUUAGUUGCGAAAAACCUCACUUCUUUUUUUUUUUUUUUUUUAAAAAAAUCUCCUAAACUGAGGAAGCUAAAAUCUUAAAUCUUCUGUUAAUAAGUUUAAUUUGCACCAACUCAUCAUCUUCCUCUCCACCUCAUUUCAUUGCAAAACAGACCUCACUGCCCUUUUCUCUUUUUCUUCUUUUCUUUGAAAGGGUCUUCUCUGAUCACCUAAUUAAAUUAAAGCCCAAAACUAUGAAACAAUUGAAUGGUAGCUACAACCUUAAUGUCAAGAAGAACCCAUUUUCCUCAAUUCUUGUUAAGUUUGUCAUUUGUUUUCUAUUACUUGGGCUUGCUUAUCGUCUGUAUUCCUCAAGUUACGUGCAGUUCUCCCCUGUUGAGGUUACUACUGAAACAACAACGAUUAAUGGGGACGAUGAUGUGGGCCCCCAGUCAUUGCCACCUCCGGUGAUCAGCGGGUUACCGCCGGUUUCCACCAUUGAUCCUCCUCCGGAGGCUGUUGAUGUCAACAAGAAUACAACCUCUCAGGCUGGUUAGUCCAUAAUUCUCCUUUAAUUUCUUUUAAACCCUUCAAUGCAUGACUGAAUAAUUUGUUGAACUAUUGUUAUUAUUCUAUGUUUUAAAGAAAUCAUGCAUGGAAUUUAUUCUCAUGCUUUUGGGGGUCUCUGCAUAGAAUUAUUGUGGGAUGGUGUCAAUUUGUGCAUUCUCAAAUUGGAUUCUUUAACACUUCUGUGGACAUUAUUCUCAUUUACUGGUGCAUUUUUAGGUAAAGAGGGUAUCUUUCCAUGUUCAUCUAACUUUAGGAGAAUGGUUUCAGUUUCCAGAAAUAAAGAUGAAAUUAUGCUUCCCUGUGAAUGGUGCUGGCGAGGAAAGCGUUUCCCCUGUUAACUUUUCUUUUUUCCUGUAUUUUUUCUUUUUCUUUCUUUGUUGCAAUUCUCUACAAAUUUCUACUGCAUGUUACAACCUUUGCGAGCAACCCUCUUUCCUUUCAAGAACUAUUUUUCUUUUCCCUUUUUUAUGUUUUUUUUGGGGGGGGGGGGGGUGCGGUGGGGAGUGCUGGGGCGGAUGAGUGGUUUUGAAGGUACUGGAGCUUUUUGCGGUUUACUUUGGAUCAUCAGUCUCUAUCAAAUGGUAAUUGUGCUUUUUUUUUUUCCUGUCCGCAGAUUAAAGAUCCUUACUUGAAUUUUUUGAGUAGAAUGAUAUUUGUUAUUUGUCGCCGUCAAUCAUUAUUUUGUAUCUAUUGAUUAUUCUUAACUUCUAAAGCAUGCCUUGUGAUAUUAAUGUUUGCUGUUGUGGUGAGCCCACUCUACUAUAUCCACACCCUGUGAAAGGGUAUUGCAGAGUGAUAUUGAAUUCAAUGAUGUCUGUGUUGUAGCAGGAAAAUGUAAUCUAUUUGUAGGAGAUUGGAUUCCGGAUUCUACUGGUCCAUAUUACUCCAAUAGUACGUGCUCUUUGAUUGAAGGCCAUCAAAAUUGCAUGAAGAAUGGCCGUCCCGAUACCGGUUACAUCUAUUGGAGAUGGAAUCCAAGAGACUGUGAUUUACCCAAGUUUAACGCAAAACGGUUUCUGGAUUUUGUGAGGAACAAAUCAUUAGCCUUUAUUGGUGAUUCAAUAAUGCGUAAUCAUGCCCAAUCAUUGGUUUGCACUCUUUCUCAGGUAUAAUUUGAGCUUUUCAAGUCCAUGGAUAUCUGUAUUCCUCUAAUUUGUGUCUGGCAGUGUUCUGUGAUGAUCUCUUUAAUAUUUUUCGUUGGUUCUUAACUAGUAAUUUGUAUGAUGAACAUGAUCAGAUUUACGUUGAAGUGGUCCUUUGGUCAUAUUUUCAUCUAAAUCAGUGGGAAAUCAUCUGCAGUCUAAAAUUUUCCUGUUUUAUACAUGAAGUUAAUGAAAACAAGAGAUUUUGUUGGGUCUCAUGGUAAGGUUCUUUUUCUUUGAAUUGGAGCUUUCACAACAUUGCAUUCUACUACCAUAAUUAGAAAUGACAGAUAAUCAACAUUUGCAUAUGGUUGGAGUCAUAUCUGCUUAGUCAUGCAGCUGAGACAUGCUCUAUCCAAUUAGGACAUUAGUCAAUAUCAAAAUGAAAUAUCAUACCAAUAAGCCUUGAGGUUUAAGAUUUUUAGAUCACUUCCUCUCUGGUGCCAAAUUUCCUUGAUUGCAGUGACCCAUGACCUGUAAUAACCAACCUUUAAGGUUACCAUCCAUGGAUACCUCUGUCCACUAGCUACUGCCAUAAUUAUCCUUCCAUAGUCUUCAUGAGAAAAAGAUUUCUGAAGUUUACUUCAUGGGGGAGGCUGCAUGCUUGUUCUUGGCGAAAGACUUGGCACUUAGUAAUAUCAGCCAUUUUGGGAAAUUCAAUCACUAGGUAUUAUCCUUUAGUAAAUUCAGAUUUAUCUGUGUCUUAUUCUUCCCCAUUUUGCCCGUAUGAAAUCAGUUCAUUGCUGCCUCACUCAUUUCACUAUAGCCCAUUUUAUUAAAUACCGUUUGGUCUAAUCUUUAGUCAGAAUCUGCCCAUUUCAAAGCACUUACAUGUGGCAGGUGGAAGAAGCUGUGGAGGUCUACCAUGACAAGCAAUACAAGAGCAAGAGAUGGUCUUUCCCUGCUCACAACUUUACUUUGUCUGUUAUUUGGUCUCCGUUCUUGGCCAAAGCCACCAUCUUUGAAGACGACAAUGGGAUGUCAACAGACAUAAUUCAGCUCCAUCUUGAUGAAUUGGAUGCAGUGUGGACACAACAGUAUAACAAUUUUGAUUACCUAGUGACUGCCGGGGGAAAAUGGUUUCUCAAAGCUACGGUUUACUAUGAGAACAAUACAAUUGUUGGCUGCCAUAACUGCCAGAGAGAGAAUAUUACAGAAGUAGGAUUCUAUUACGCCUAUGGCAAGGUAAUAAAUUCUACCCUAAAAUUUAUUACAAGCUCAAAGCACAGGGUGUACGCAUUCCUCAGAACUACCACUCCUGAUCACUUUGAGAAUGGUGAAUGGCACAAUGGUGGUUAUUGCAACAGGACGAAGCCAUUUAAAGAAGGUGAGGUUGACAUGAAUCCCAUAGAUGAAAUGUUGCGUAAGGUUGAAUUAGAAGAGUUUGAGAUGGCAUCGACUAUUGGAUCUCAGAAUGGGAUAACCUUGAAAUUAUUUGAUACAAGUUAUCUUUCUUUACUGAGGCCUGAUGGGCACCCAGGAGCUUACCGGCAUUUUCAGCCAUUUGCUGGAAAGGAUAGGAAUGUAAAAGUCCAAAAUGAUUGUCUCCAUUGGUGCUUGCCCGGGCCCAUAGACUCUUGGAAUGAUUUGAUGCUGAAUGUGCUGCUGAACAGUUGAAAAAUUGUGAUGGUUAAGCCAGAAAUCUUGUGUGCACUAUAUUUUUGGGUGUUUUGAAUGAUCCUGAUGGUCUCAAAGAAGGAAAAGGUUGCUCCAUAUUGGAAUGGCUAUGCCAGCAUCGAGAUUUUUUGCAGAUUGCAUUUCCUAAUCUGAUGCCUAGUGUGCGUACCGUGUAGAGCGACGCUCAGGAAGAUUGAAGCCAGUUUCACUUGUAGCCUUUUGUUUUUCUGGGUAUAUGCAAAAUGGAGUCAUGAUUAUGAGACCCAUGUAGAAUCAUAGAUUCAGUUCAAGAGUAAACAUGAGAUUUGUGGCUCAUAAGAUUCAUAAUUGUGUCUAUAUAACAUCUCCAUUCUUUUGGAAGCACCGCCAAUUUUACUCCUCAGCGAUGCCAGCAUGCGAUCUAUCAAGGGACUAUCAACACAUCAAUUUUAUGCGGCAGAUGUAAGUUAACAUUGCUCCAGCCAUCAUUAUCAAUGGGGAUGGUCAUUUAAGGUUCAAGAAAAAUGCAGGGCAUUCCCAGAGUCAACUGGAUUCUCGUAUGGGGGUAGUGUGUCAGUCCAUUUACUGACUAAGAAACUGACUUUGCUUUCUUCCUCAAGGCUCUCUGUAACAACGGCGACCCACUCGUUGCCAUUUAUUUUGAAUCAAUUAAUAGACUUAUGACCGGUCGCAGUUCUCGAGCCCCAACCGGAAAAGCCACCAUAAGCUUUUGCAAACAUCAGCCUCGGCUUUGUAUCCUUUCAGUGACCACAAAAAAGUACGCCUCUGGAAGGAGGUGGGCUAUAGUAUUGGCACCGUCUGUGAUUGGCGAAACCUGUAAUUCCACAGGGACACUGGAGAGAAAACGAAGCAAGAAAGUCCUAAUUGCCUAGGUUGAGACCUUAAAAUAUAGAGGUUAAAUCCUCUGCUCCCUCCCGUGUCUUUAAUCCCACCCCCUUCCUUGCUAAGAAAAAGAAAAAUUUUAAGAGUCCGAAUUGCAGAGAUUUUUUCCAUCCUUUCUCCCCUUAGCAUGAAUUUGACAAUUCUUCGUCAUUGCUCUACUCAGAAGUCUGGAAGCUACCGCGCAUCCAACAGAGCGCAAGUAGUGCAAAUUGUGAUUUAUCUUGAGUUUGUCGGAUAUGGAUGCAUCUUGACUUUGAGCCUGUGAAAACCAAACUCCAAUCCUCUACUGGCAAAACUAAUGCGCAAACUGCAAAUUCAAGUCAGUCUGUGGAUUGCCGAAAAGCUCAUGCAGUGACAUGGAAUGAAAUUUUGCCGGCCUAGGUCUUCAAACAAGCACCACUAGUAGUUAUGAAACCAUCCAUUCUCUUCAAGAAACAAGAACAGCAAAAAAGAAAGAACCUAGCUUGCAAGACUUCUACUGUUUUCAAUACAUGCAGAUAUAUCACGGGAACCAUGAAACUACUUGUGCCACCGGAACGACCUUUGCCACCUCCAAGACAACAGGCAGAGAAGAACUGGAAAGCAACUUUUGGUGGACGAAAGCAAUCCUGCAGUGAUUCCUGUUUUGCGCAGCGGUGAAUUCAUCACCCGUACGGACGAAAAUGAAUUCAUUUCAGGCAACGAGUCUACACAAGUUUCACGCGAAAUAUUCAGUUCAGUUCUACAUGAUGUACUAAGUUCUGCCGUAUACAGCAAAAAGAUGGGAGGCGGAAAAGCUCAGACUUGCUAGAGAAAAACCAGGAAAAACAGUUGAUGACGGAGAGUUUUAUAGUAUAGUCUUAUAACAGGAUAAUUCCUCAUUCUUUUUGAGAAGAAUAACCACGAUAUAACGGGAUCUAGCACACUGUAUACCUUUUUGACAAGUCACAUUCUCCAUAUUUGUACUGAAUCAGUCCAAAUCUUACCAAAAGAUUGAGAAGGCAGCCCAAAAGAUGUUUACAUCAAUAAGAACUGAACAACUGCAGGUUAUCCAUCCAAACUGAAAGAAAAUUCUACAUGUAACUGGCAAAAAUCAACUUAUCCAAACAAAUAUUUAUUCCAACAUAAACUCAAAAACAUCAGUUCUGAUAACAUGCUCAGAAAUGGACACUGAAAGCCAGGAUAAAUCACAUUGAAGAAGGAUUUUUUCCCCUCUUAUUU
This 7509-nucleotide long non-coding RNA is filed under the name Coffea arabica (coffee). Its description in RNAcentral is "long non-coding RNA (CARA_LNC001429)". The record is from RNAcentral. Lineage: Eukaryota; Viridiplantae; Streptophyta; Magnoliopsida; Gentianales; Rubiaceae.